Molecule: ribosomal RNA, 673 nt
Filed under: uncultured bacterium
Lineage: Bacteria
Description: bacterial SSU rRNA
Rfam family: Bacterial small subunit ribosomal RNA
Source: RNAcentral
CGGGUGAGUAACGCGUGGGUAACCUGCCUUAUACAGGGGGAUAACAGUUGGAAACGACUGCUAAUACCGCGUAAGCGCACGGUAUCGCAUGAUACAGUGUGAAAAACUCCGGUGGUAUAAGAUGGACCCGCGUCUGAUUAGCUAGUUGGUGAGGUAACGGCCCACCAAGGCGACGAUCAGUAGCCGGCCUGAGAGGGUGAACGGCCACAUUGGGACUGAGACACGGCCCAAACUCCUACGGGAGGCAGCAGUGGGGAAUAUUGCACAAUGGGGGAAACCCUGAUGCAGCGACGCCGCGUGAGUGAUGAAGUAUUUCGGUAUGUAAAACUCUAUCAGCAGGGAAGAUAAUGACGGUACCUGACUAAGAAGCACCGGCUAAAUACGUGCCAGCAGCCGCGGUAAUACGUAUGGUGCAAGCGUUAUCCGGAUUUACUGGGUGUAAAGGGUGCGUAGGUGGUAUGGCAAGUCAGAAGUGAAAGGCUGGGGCUCAACCCCGGGACUGCUUUUGAAACUGUCAAACUAGAGUACAGGAGAGGAAAGCGGAAUUCCUAGUGUAGCGGUGAAAUGCGUAGAUAUUAGGAGGAACACCAGUGGCGAAGGCGGCUUUCUGGACUGAAACUGACACUGAGGCACGAAAGCGUGGGGAGCAAACAGGAUUAGAUACCCUGGUAGU